AAUCUCUCUCUUACUCUGUCUCUUUCUCUGUAUCUCCUAGCCUUUCUCUCAACGGCACUGGCAAAAUCGGGACUUCAUCAGGUAAACUCUCUCUCUUUCCCGUCUAAUCUUCAGCCAAGACAAGGGUUUCGAUUUUAAUCAGAGCUUUUCAUUCUCUUCACAAUUCUUUGUCAAAAUCUGCCGAGGUCUUAAUUAAGUACUGCUGCCGAGGUCUGCAAACAUACAUUAGGUUAAUAACGACACAAAUACCUAGAAAAUUUCUUUUCACUUCCAUAUAUAAUUGCAUAUAACGUGCAUAAUCUGAUAGUAAUGUGGUAGUUCCUACCAGUAAAAAGAGGGUGAGGGAACCUCAUACUCGGUGGUGCCUUCAAUUAUAAAGUACAGUAUAUAUUUACUGGUUAAUUUGUUGUUUAAUCCUUUUUAUUUCCUAAAGAAAAUUAAAUUUCGUUGUUUGUUUCUUGAGCAUUCAAUGUAGACUGAUCAUCUAAUUUUCUUGAGUAGCUAAUUAUAUUUGAUUUAGGAGAUAAGUUAUAUAGUCUAAAGAUCAAUUUAUACAGUAUAUAAAUUUAUACAGUAUAUCAAUUUAUACAGUAUACAUGUGUAUUUUGAUUGGUUUCCUCUAUCUUUCAUAUUAUCGUAUCAAGAGUUAAUAUUGUAAAUCAACAUUAUCAAAUUGAGUCCCUGGCCAUGUCGUAUCCCGAAUAGAUGUGCAUUUAGAAUUUUUAUAUUAGUUGGUGUGACUUGGAUAAGAGAGACGUGUCUCAAAAGUGGAUCUAAGAUUUUUAUAAUAUAGGUGCACCACUAAAAAAAGAGAAAAAGAAACUUUAAAGUAUGAAUUGAUCCCUACUCCUUCAGGUAAAUAACUCAUCAUUCAACCAAGUGCACCAUUUAGCCUCUUUGGAGCAUGGGUGCCAUCAGAGAAUACUAGACUAAUUCCAAUAAAAAUGUACAUAAAAUAUCUAGUUUGACGGAAAAAACAUGGGUUCACAUGCCACAUCAAUUUGCCUACAAAUCCGUCCCCGUCAGCCGGGCUUGGGCCGGUCCUGGCAGGCCUGGCGGGCCUAAACGGGUCCAACGACUAUUUUUUAAAAAAAAGUUUUUUUAUUUAAAAUAAGUAAUGGUCAUAUUUAAAAUAUAGCCUUUUGGGCUGAAAAUAUGUCCGUUUGGAAGUUUACAAAAUAGCCAUUUGGCCCCCAAACUUGGCGGAUCUAGGAUUUUUAUAACAUAGGUGCACCACUAAAAAAAAGAGGAAAAAAAACCUUAAAGUAGGAUUUGAUCCCUAGUCCUGCAGGUAAAUAACUCAUCAUUCAACCAAGUGCACCAUUUAGCCUCUUUGGAGCAUGGGUGCCAGCAAAGAAUACUAGACUAAUUCCAAUAAAAUUGUACAUAAAAUAUCUAGUUUGACGGAAAGAACAUGGGUUCACAUGCCACGUCAAUUUGCCUACAAAUCCGCCCUGACGUGUCCCAUAACAUGCCAUCACCUCCUCUGCUGUCAUUGCUGUUUUCUUGAUAAAAAAACUCUGUUACUGUUAAGAGUAUGAGAAGGAGAAGAGUAAAAACUCCCUUCAAUAUUAGUAUUGUCAGUCACAUUCUUGUUAGCUUCUUGACCAUGCCAGCUUAAGCCUGAUGGAUGAUCACAUUGCAAUUGAAACAAGAAAUCUGAAUUUUUUUGGAAAGAACAUUCUGCUCAAAGAUUGACAUUCUUCAUCAAAGAAAGCUCCCACAAAUUCCAUUGUGUUUUUAUUUUGAAAGGCUGGUAAGGAGGGGAGAAUGACCAGUGGCUUGCUAAAUAUAACCACUAAAUAUUCUCAAAAGUGAUACAUUGAUGCUUCUCUUCCAAUGAUCGAGUACAUUGGCAAACUUUAUCAUUCCAGAAGUAUAAGCUUGGAUUGGAGAUAUCAUACUUUUACUUGGAUUGGGAAUAAGCAACAACAAAUGACAUUAAUGCUUCAGAACCUCUGUGAUAGUAGGACCUUGCACCUCUUGUGUACGAGGUUAUUGGAUUAUACUUUUUAUCGGUAUUUGUAAAAUACUGGCAUGAUAUGAGUUUGUC
RNAcentral lists this long non-coding RNA (2053 nucleotides) under Nicotiana benthamiana. Its description in RNAcentral is "long non-coding RNA (NBEN_LNC014404)". Lineage: Eukaryota; Viridiplantae; Streptophyta; Magnoliopsida; Solanales; Solanaceae. The record is from RNAcentral.